Molecule: long non-coding RNA, 200 nt
Organism: Xiphias gladius (swordfish)
Lineage: Eukaryota; Metazoa; Chordata; Actinopteri; Istiophoriformes; Xiphiidae
Exons: 3
Source: RefSeq, a predicted model, not a curated record
AACCGUGAAUGCUGCCUCGCCGUGCACGUACCACGCUUUCCCUGAUCCCGCCGAUGUUGCGCUGCUGCGCUCUCAGCUCCUGAACUGGUACGACGAGGAGAAGAGAGAGCUGCCAUGGAGGACUCUGGCUAUGACAGAACCAGACCUGAACAUCAGGACUUAUGCAGUGUGGGUUUCAGAAAUCAUGCUGCAACAGACUC